Molecule: long non-coding RNA, 342 nt
Filed under: Taeniopygia guttata (zebra finch)
Lineage: Eukaryota; Metazoa; Chordata; Aves; Passeriformes; Estrildidae
Description: lncRNA (ENSTGUG00000020959.1)
Source: RNAcentral
CAGAGAAGGAAGUCACGUCCAUAAAGCAGAUCCUAGCACUCUUCUCAGCUCAACUCCAAACAAUCUGUUAUGGGAAGCAACAGCAAAUAUCUGCCCAUUUCCUGUGUCCGGGACCGUGGGACAGGCAAAGGAAAGCUUCCCAAAAUCACCCAGCUGAUGCAAAUUUGAGUGGGAUUUUAAAAGAAGAGCGGAAGCUCCAUUCAUCAUCCCUACUCUCUUCAAACAGGAGUUAAAGGUUUUCUUCCAAAUCUGAAAGUGAACACGCCACUUCUGGAGAUCUAGAUAAAAGGAUUUGUUUCCACAACUGCCUUGUGCUGAAUGAAAACCAAAAUCAGAGAAGAG